GACGAACGCUGGCGGCGUGCUUAACACAUGCAAGUCGAACGGUGAAGGGACUGGUUUUGCUGGUCCUGGAUGAGUGGCGACCGGGUGAGUAACACGUGAGUAACCUGCCCCCUUCUUCUGGAUAACCGCAUGAAAGUGUGGCUAAUACGGGAUAUUCUGGGUCUGUCGCAUGGUGGGCCUGGGAAAGAUUGCGCCUUUUUUGGUGUUUUUGGUGGGGGAUGGGCUCGCGGCCUAUCAGCUUGUUGGUGGGGUGAUGGCCUACCAAGGCGGUGACGGGUAGCCGGCCUGAGAGGGUGGACGGUCACACUGGGACUGAGACACGGCCCAGACUCCUACGGGGGGCAGCAGUGGGGAAUAUUGCACAAUGGGCGCAAGCCUGAUGCAGCGACGCCGCGUGAGGGAUGGAGGCCUUCGGGUUGAGAACCUCUUUCGCCAGUGAAGCAGGCCUGCCUCUUUUUGUGGGUGGGUUGACGGUAGCUGGAUAAGAAGCGCCGGCUAACUACGUG
RNAcentral lists this ribosomal RNA (506 nucleotides) under uncultured bacterium. Its description in RNAcentral is "partial 16S ribosomal RNA". It matches the Rfam family "Bacterial small subunit ribosomal RNA", at positions 28 to 507 of the family's 1533-position model. The record is from RNAcentral.